GGCGAUCAGAUACCGCCCUAGUUCUGACCAUAAACGAUGCCAACUAGCGAUCUGCCGGUGGAAUUUUUGCCCUGGUAGGGAGCUUCCCGGAAACGAAAGUCUUCCGGUUCCGGGGGAAGUAUGGUUGCAAAGCUGAAACUUAAAGGAAUUGACGGAAGGGCACCACCAGGAGUGGAGCCUGCGGCUUAAUUUGACUCAACACGGGAAAACUCACCCGGCCCGGACACCGUGAGGAUUGACAGAUUGAUAGCUUUUUCAUGAUUCGGUGGAUGGUGGUGCAUGGCCGUUCUUAGUUCGUGGAGCGAUUUGUCUGGUUUAUUCCGAUAACGAGCGAGACUCUAUCCUACUAAAUAGUGUGCCCAUUGCCUCUGUGGGUGGCACUUCUUAGAGGGAUUUUCGGUGUACAGCCGCACGAAAAAGAGCAAUAACAGGUCUGUGAUGCCCUUAGAUGUCCGGGGCUGCACGCGCGCUACACUGGCGAAAUCAGCGUGCCUGUCCUUUCUCGAAAGAAAUUGGUAAACCAAUCAAAAUUUGCCGUGAUUGGGAUCGGAAAUUGCAAUUAUUUUCCGUGAACGAGGAAUUCCAAGUAAAUGCGAGUCAUCAACUCGCGUUGAUUACGUCCCUGCCCUUUGUA
This 634-nucleotide ribosomal RNA is filed under the name Anguina pacificae. RNAcentral's name for it is "SSU rRNA". It matches the Rfam family "Eukaryotic small subunit ribosomal RNA", at positions 1003 to 1664 of the family's 1831-position model. The record is from RNAcentral. Lineage: Eukaryota; Metazoa; Nematoda; Chromadorea; Rhabditida; Anguinidae.